This 254-nucleotide ribosomal RNA is filed under the name uncultured bacterium. RNAcentral's name for it is "partial 16S ribosomal RNA". It matches the Rfam family "Bacterial small subunit ribosomal RNA", at positions 524 to 776 of the family's 1533-position model. The record is from RNAcentral.
UACAGAGACUGCAAGCGUUAUUCGGAUUCACUGGGCGUAAAGGGUGCGUAGGCGGCGCGGUAAGUCGGGUGUGAAAUCUCGGAGCUUAACUCCGAAACUGCAUUCGAUACUGCCGUGCUUGAGGACUGGGAGAGGAGACUGGAAUUUACGGUGUAGCGGUGAAAUGCGUAGAGAUCGGAAGGAACACCAGUGGCGAAGGCGGCUACCUGGACAGAUACUGACGCUGAGGCGCGAGAGCGUGGGGAGCAAACAGG